CACGAAACUUGCCCCGAGAUGAGUUCUCCCUGAGACUUAGAGUCUCCUGAAGGAACGUUGAAGACGACGACGUUGAUAGGCCGGGUGUGUAAGCGCAGCGAUGCGUUGAGCUAACCGGUACUAAUGAACCGUGAGGCUUAACCUUAC
RNAcentral lists this ribosomal RNA (147 nucleotides) under Salmonella enterica subsp. enterica serovar Agona str. SA-3. Its description in RNAcentral is "partial 23S ribosomal RNA". It matches the Rfam family "Bacterial large subunit ribosomal RNA", at positions 2786 to 2925 of the family's 2925-position model. Lineage: Bacteria; Pseudomonadati; Pseudomonadota; Gammaproteobacteria; Enterobacterales; Enterobacteriaceae. The record is from RNAcentral.